UACGAAGGGGGCUAGCGUUGUUCGGAAUCACUGGGCGUAAAGGGCGCGUAGGCGGCUUUAUAAGUCGGGGGUGAAAGCCUGUGGCUCAACCACAGAAUUGCCUUCGAUACUGUAGAGCUUGAGACCGGAAGAGGUAAGUGGAACUGCGAGUGUAGAGAUGAAAUUCGUAGAUAUUCGCAAGAACACCAGUGGCGAAGGCGGCUUACUGGUCCGGUUCUGACGCUGAGGCGCGAAAGCGUGGGGAGCAAACAGG
RNAcentral lists this ribosomal RNA (253 nucleotides) under uncultured bacterium. RNAcentral describes it as "partial 16S ribosomal RNA". It matches the Rfam family "Bacterial small subunit ribosomal RNA", at positions 524 to 776 of the family's 1533-position model. The record is from RNAcentral.